Molecule: ribosomal RNA, 463 nt
Filed under: Olios sp. 'tiny Singapore'
Lineage: Eukaryota; Metazoa; Arthropoda; Arachnida; Araneae; Sparassidae
Description: partial 16S ribosomal RNA
Rfam family: Bacterial large subunit ribosomal RNA
Source: RNAcentral
UUUUCCAAAAACAUAUUUAAUAGAAUUAAUUAUUAAUAAAACCUGCUCAAUGAAUUUUAAAUAGCCGCAGCUCAUACUGUGCUAAGGUAGCAUAAUCAUUUGUCUUUUAAUUAAAGACUAGAAUGAAAGGUUAAACAUUUAAAUAAUAAUAAUUUAUUUACAUUUUAAAUUUAUUUUAAAUGUUAAAAAACAUUUAUAAUGUAGAAAGACGACAAGACCCUAUUGAACUUCACUUUAGUUUAACUGGGGCAGUUAAUUAAAUAAUACUUUAAAUAUUUAAUACUAAAUGACCCAAUCAAAUUGAUUUUAUGAUCAAGCUACCAUAGGGAUAACAGCGUAAUAUUUUUCUAUAGAUCUUAUAUAAAAGAAUGAUUGCGACCUCGAUGUUGAAUUAAUUUAUCUAAUAAAUGCAUCAAUUUAUAAAGAAAGUCUGUUCGACUUUUAAACUAUUACAUGAUCUGAG